This 198-nucleotide ribosomal RNA is filed under the name uncultured bacterium. Its description in RNAcentral is "partial 16S ribosomal RNA". It matches the Rfam family "Bacterial small subunit ribosomal RNA", at positions 328 to 539 of the family's 1533-position model. The record is from RNAcentral.
ACGCUCGACACCUACGGGAGGCAGCAGUGGGGAAUAUUGCACAAUGGGGGAAACCCUGAUGCAGCGACGCCGCGUGAGCGAAGAAGUAUUUCGGUAUGUAAAGCCCUAUCAGCAGGGAAGAUAAUGACGGUACCUGACUAAGAAGCUCCGGCUAAAUACGUGCCUGCAGCCGCGGUAAUCUGAGCGGGCUGGCAAGGC